RNAcentral lists this microRNA (23 nucleotides) under Strongyloides ratti. RNAcentral describes it as "str-miR-8381-3p". Lineage: Eukaryota; Metazoa; Nematoda; Chromadorea; Rhabditida; Strongyloididae. The record is from miRBase by way of RNAcentral.
UUUUGUAUUGCUGAAUUUUUGAU